CGGUUAAGUUAGAAAGGGCGCACGGUGGAUGCCUUGGCACUAGGAGCCGAUGAAGGACGGGACGAACACCGAUAUGCUUCGGGGAGCUGUAAGCAAGCUUUGAUCCGGAGAUUUCCGAAUGGGGAAACCCACCACUCGUAAUGGAGUGGUAUCCAUAUCUGAAUUCAUAGGAUAUGAGAAGGCAGACCCGGGGAACUGAAACAUCUAAGUACCCGGAGGAAGAGAAAGCAAAUGCGAUUCCCUGAGUAGCGGCGAGCGAAACGGGAUUAGCCCAAACCAAGAGGCUUGCCUCUUGGGGUUGUAGGACACUCUGUACGGAGUUACAAAGGAACGAGGUAGAUGAAGAGGUCUGGAAAGGCCCGCCAUAGGAGGUAACAGCCCUGUAGUCAAAACUUCGUUCUCUCCUGAGUGGAUCCUGAGUACGGCGGAACACGUGAAAUUCCGUCGGAAUCCGGGAGGACCAUCUCCCAAGGCUAAAUACUCCCUAGUGACCGAUAGUGAACCAGUACCGUGAGGGAAAGGUGAAAAGCACCCCGGAAGGGGAGUGAAAGAGAUCCUGAAACCGUGUGCCUACAAGUAGUCAGAGCCCGUUAACGGGUGAUGGCGUGCCUUUUGUAGAAUGAACCGGCGAGUUACGAUCCCGUGCAAGGUUAAGCAGAAGAUGCGGAGCCGCAGCGAAAGCGAGUCUGAAUAGGGCGCAUGAGUACGUGGUCGUAGACCCGAAACCAGGUGAUCUACCCAUGUCCAGGGUGAAGUUCAGGUAACACUGAAUGGAGGCCCGAACCCACGCACGUUGAAAAGUGCGGGGAUGAGGUGUGGGUAGGGGUGAAAUGCCAAUCGAACCUGGAGAUAGCUGGUUCUCUCCGAAAUAGCUUUAGGGCUAGCCUCAAGGUAAGAGUCUUGGAGGUAGAGCACUGAUUGGACUAGGGGCCCCUACCGGGUUACCGAAUUCAGUCAAACUCCGAAUGCCAAUGACUUAUCCUUGGGAGUCAGACUGCGAGUGAUAAGAUCCGUAGUCGAAAGGGAAACAGCCCAGACCGCCAGCUAAGGUCCCAAAGUAUACGUUAAGUGGAAAAGGAUGUGGAGUUGCUUAGACAACCAGGAUGUUGGCUUAGAAGCAGCCACCAUUUAAAGAGUGCGUAAUAGCUCACUGGUCGAGUGACUCUGCGCCGAAAAUGUACCGGGGCUAAACGUAUCACCGAAGCUGCGGACUGUUCUUCGAACAGUGGUAGGAGAGCGUUCUAAGGGCUGUGAAGCCAGACCGGAAGGACUGGUGGAGCGCUUAGAAGUGAGAAUGCCGGUAUGAGUAGCGAAAGAGGGGUGAGAAUCCCCUCCACCGAAUGCCUAAGGUUUCCUGAGGAAGGCUCGUCCGCUCAGGGUUAGUCGGGACCUAAGCCGAGGCCGAAAGGCGUAGGCGAUGGACAACAGGUUGAUAUUCCUGUACCACCUCCUCACCAUUUGAGCAAUGGGGGGACGCAGGAGGAUAGGGUAAGCGCGGUAUUGGAUAUCCGCGUCCAAGCAGUUAGGCUGGGAAAUAGGCAAAUCCGUUUCCCAUAAGGCUGAGCUGUGAUGGCGAGCGAAAUAUAGUAGCGAAGUUCCUGAUUCCACACUGCCAAGAAAAGCCUCUAGCGAGGUGAGAGGUGCCCGUACCGCAAACCGACACAGGUAGGCGAGGAGAGAAUCCUAAGGUGAUCGAGAGAACUCUCGUUAAGGAACUCGGCAAAAUGACCCCGUAACUUCGGGAGAAGGGGUGCUCUGUUAGGGUGCAAGCCCGAGAGAGCCGCAGUGAAUAGGCCCAGGCGACUGUUUAGCAAAAACACAGGUCUCUGCGAAGCCGUAAGGCGAAGUAUAGGGGCUGACGCCUGCCCGGUGCUGGAAGGUUAAGAGGAGCGCUUAGCGUAAGCGAAGGUGCGAAUUGAAGCCCCAGUAAACGGCGGCCGUAACUAUAACGGUCCUAAGGUAGCGAAAUUCCUUGUCGGGUAAGUUCCGACCCGCACGAAAGGCGCAACGAUCUGGGCACUGUCUCAACGAGAGACUCGGUGAAAUUAUAGUACCUGUGAAGAUGCAGGUUACCCGCGACAGGACGGAAAGACCCCGUGGAGCUUUACUGCAGCCUGAUAUUGAAUGUUGGUACAGCUUGUACAGGAUAGGUAGGAGCCUUGGAAACCGGAGCGCCAGCUUCGGUGGAGGCAUCGGUGGGAUACUACCCUGGCUGUAUUGACCUUCUAACCCGCCGCCCUUAUCGGGCGGGGAGACAGUGUCAGGUGGGCAGUUUGACUGGGGCGGUCGCCUCCUAAAAGGU
RNAcentral lists this ribosomal RNA (2302 nucleotides) under Bacillus subtilis. RNAcentral describes it as "bacterial LSU rRNA". It matches the Rfam family "Bacterial large subunit ribosomal RNA", at positions 1 to 2298 of the family's 2925-position model. The record is from RNAcentral. Lineage: Bacteria; Bacillati; Bacillota; Bacilli; Caryophanales; Bacillaceae.